AGAAUCAACGCUGGCGGCGUGCCUAACACAUGCAAGUCGAACGAGAAAGUGGAGCAAUCCAUGAGUAAAGUGGCGACCGGGUGAGUAACACGUGACUAACCUACCUUCGAGUGGGGGAUAACCUCGGGAAACCGAGGCUAAUACCGCAUAACAUCGCAAGAUCAAAGCAGCAAUGCGCUGGAAGAGGGGGUCGCGGCUGAUUAGCUAGUUGGCGGGUAACGCCCACAAGGCGAAGAUCGGUAGCCGGCCUGAGAGGGCGCGCGGCCACACUGGAACUGAAACACGGUCCAGACUCCUACGGGAGGCAGCAGUGGGGAAUUUUGCGCAAUGGGGGAAACCCUGACGCAGCAACGCCGCGUGGAGGAUGAAGCCCCUUGGGGCGUAAACUCCUUUCGACCAAGACGAUAAUGACGGUACUGGUGGAAGAAGCACCGGCUAACUCUGCGCCAGCAGCCGC
This 457-nucleotide ribosomal RNA is filed under the name uncultured bacterium. RNAcentral describes it as "SSU rRNA". It matches the Rfam family "Bacterial small subunit ribosomal RNA", at positions 26 to 518 of the family's 1533-position model. The record is from RNAcentral.